This 639-nucleotide ribosomal RNA is filed under the name Pfiesteria piscicida. RNAcentral's name for it is "eukaryotic LSU rRNA". It matches the Rfam family "Eukaryotic large subunit ribosomal RNA", at positions 989 to 1601 of the family's 3401-position model. The record is from RNAcentral. Lineage: Eukaryota; Dinophyceae; Peridiniales; Pfiesteriaceae.
CAUGAUGAUAGUUUUAAACAGUAAAGAUAAUGAUUAGAAGGUUAGUGGAAAUUGAAGUAUUCUACACUUAUUCUCAAACUUUAAAUGUUUAAGAUAAAGCGCAUUACCGAAAGGAAUGUGUUUUCGAGAAUAGCGAACUUUUAGUGGGCCUUGUUUGGUAAGCAGACUGGGCGAUGUAGGAUGAACUAAACGUCAAGUUAAAAUGUCAGAAUAGGUAUACGCAUAAAGAAACCAUAAAAGGUGUUGUUCAAUAUAGACAGCAUGACGGUGAUCAUGGAAGUAGAGAUCCGCUAAGAAGUGUGUAACAACUUACAUGUCGAAUUGAAUAGCCCUGAAAAUGGAUGACGCUAAGUAUAGGAAUAUUUAGACUUGACCUUCUGUGUUGUAGAAGUAUGCCACACAGAAGAGUAGAAGGAUAUGUUUUUGAUGGCGAAGCAUCUCUGUGAGGGGGUGUGGAAUUGAAAAUAGUGCAGAUCUUGGUAAUAGUAGCAAAUAUUUAAUUGAGAAAAUUAAAGAUUGAAGAAGAAAAUGGUUCCUUAAGAAGUGUAAUACGUUAAGGGUGAGCGAUUUUAAGGAGAAAAUUGAGAUAGAUUGAAAUGCGUACAAUUCAUCUGAUGGAGUGUAUGUGAAUCCAAAAAA